RNAcentral lists this transfer RNA (65 nucleotides) under Aedes aegypti (yellow fever mosquito). It matches the Rfam family "tRNA". Rfam says of the family: Transfer RNA (tRNA) molecules are approximately 80 nucleotides in length. Their secondary structure includes four short double-helical elements and three loops (D, anti-codon, and T loops). Lineage: Eukaryota; Metazoa; Arthropoda; Insecta; Diptera; Culicidae. The record is from Rfam by way of RNAcentral.
GGGUUGGUAGCUAUCGCUUCUGUUUCAUAAGCAGAAGGUCAUGGGUUCAAAUCCAAGCCAGUCCC